UUAUUAUGGCCUCUGUUGUUCCUUAGCUCCUACUGUAUUUCCUUUUCCUAUCAUGUUCUCUCUGAAAAAGAAGAGGAAGAAAAAAAAAAGGAAAAAAAAAUCUCAAUAUUCUGAAUACCAUUUCCAUUUGCAUGGUUGAGUUGUGAUUUUUCUGUUUUCUCUGCUUGGAUUCUUUGUUUUUGUUCUGUUUAGAUGAAGAUGAAGAUGAAGAUGAAGAUGAAGAGGGAGCUUGAGGAUGAUAGAUCUACUGGUGGUGGUGUUUACGGUGGCGGAAGGCAGGGGGUUGGGAAAGGGGAGUGUUCUUCAGUGUCGGGGGGGAAAGUGAAGAUGUGGGAGGAGGAGGAGCAAGAGGUCGGCGGCGGAGGAAUGGAUGAGUUGCUUGCUGUUUUGGGCUAUAAGGUUAGAGCGUCGGACAUGGCGGAUGUGGCGCAGAAGAUGGAGCAACUGGAGAUGGUGAUGGGAUCUGUUAAGGAAGAUGGGAUUUCUCAUCUGGCUUCUGAUACUGUUCAUUAUAAUCCUUCUGAUCUCUCUGCCUGGAUUCAAAAUAUGCUCUCUGAAUUCAAUAAUACCCCCAACCAUUUCAACUCUUCUUCUACUUCUACUACUCCUCCUCCUCAAUCUUCUCAAUAUUCCAAUCCUCACUCACGGAUUCAAUCCAGGCCUUCGCGGUUGUACGACGACGAUUCUGAGUACGAUCUCAGCGCCAUUCCUGGCGUAGCGGUUUUUCCUUCCAAAGAUUCCUCAACAGAAAUCGAAACUAAUUCUCGCAAGCGAGUGAAAAUUGAAGGAGAGAGUUCGGUGAAUUUGUUGCCGCCAUCGCCACCGUUUGUUGCGGCUGCGGCAGCGGCCGGGAUUGUCUCUGAACCUUCUCGGCCGGUGGUGGUUGUGGAGGAGGGUUCGCAAGACGCAGGGAUUCAACUCGUUCACACUCUAAUGGCCUGCGCCGAGGCCGUGCAGCAAGAAAACAUGAAGAUCGCUGAGGCAUUGGUGAAGCACAUCGGAUUACUAGCGGUAUCGCAAGCCGGAGCGAUGAGGAAAGUCGCGACGUAUUUUGCCGAAGCCCUAGCUCGUCGGAUUUACAGAAUCUACUCUCCUCAAGACGGAUUUUACUCUUCAUACUCCGAUAUCCUCCAGAUGCACUUUUACGAGACCUGUCCGUAUCUGAAAUUCGCGCAUUUCACUGCGAAUCAAGCGAUUCUCGAAGCAUUCGCGACGGCAUCGAGAGUUCAUGUCAUCGAUUUCAGUCUCAAUCAAGGUAUGCAAUGGCCGGCGCUGAUGCAAGCGCUCGCAUUACGGCCAGGAGGUCCGCCGACGUUUCGAUUGACUGGAAUCGGCCCGCCGAAGCAAGGUAAUACGACCGAUUCGUUGCAGCAAGUCGGUUGGAAGUUAGCGCAGAUGGCGGGGGCCAUUGGUGUGGAGUUUGAGUUCAAUCAAAUCGUGUGUAGUAACCUAGCUAAUCUCAAUCCGGCGGCACUGGAGAUUCGGCCGGCGGCGGUGGAGGCAGUGGCGGUGAAUUCGGUGUUCGAUCUCCAUCGGUUACUGGCUCGGCCUGGAGCGAUCGAGAAGGUUUUGGGAUCGAUAAAAGCAACGAAGCCGAAGAUCGUGACGAUUGUAGAACAAGAAGCAAACCACAACGGGAGGGUUUUCAUGGACCGGUUCACCGAGGCGUUACAUUAUUACUCAAACAUGUUUGACUCGCUCGAGGUUUCCUCGACCGGGUUUGAACCGGCUAGUGAGGACGUAUUGUUGUCUGAAGUUUAUUUAGGAAGGCAGAUUUGUAAUGUGGUGGCUUGUGAAGGACCAGACCGAGUCGAACGGCACGAGUCGUUAACUCAUUGGCGAACUCGGAUGGAAUCAGCUGGGUUCAACCCGGUUCAUCUCGGUUCGAACGCGUUUAAGCAAGCUAGCAUGCUUUUGGCCCUCUUUGCUGGAGGAGAGGGGUACAGAGUGGAAGAGAAUAAUGGGUGUUUGAUGCUUGGCUGGCACACUCGACCCUUGAUCGCCACGUCAGCUUGGCAGCUCGACGCCGAUGAGUCGACCCAGUGAGUUUGUGGCCGUGGCUCGUUCUCGGGUUUUUUUUUUUUUUUUUUUUUUUUUUUUCUGCCUUUGUAUUUGAAGGGUGGAUUAAUGACUAUAUUUUUGGGGUUGCCUUCUUACAAUAAAUAUGGUGAGCCUUAAUUCUUCAAGAAAUGUAAGAAAUUAUGAAAGUAUUUUCCUAAGUGUGCCAUUCCUCUUUGAUUUAAUUUUAAUUUCAAUGUUAUUGGUUGAUUGGA
Cucurbita moschata (crookneck pumpkin) is the source of this 2273-nucleotide RNA transcript. It is a transcript of the gene named DELLA protein GAI-like, with no coding region annotated. The record is from RefSeq and is a predicted model, not a curated record. Lineage: Eukaryota; Viridiplantae; Streptophyta; Magnoliopsida; Cucurbitales; Cucurbitaceae. The transcript has 2 exons.